ACCUCCAUUCCUGCAGGUGGGCUCCUCAAGAAGAGUUUGUGAGGCGGACGGUUCAUGGAGUGGAAUACAGCCUUCUUGCAUUGAUCCAUCCAGCAAUGCAUGUAAGGAUCCCGGAACCCCAUCAUAUGGAAUUCCAGUCCAGGCUCAGGGAUUUGAGGUCGGAAGUAAAAUUUUCUUCAGAUGUCGGAAAAACUAUCACAUCCUCGGCUCAACAACGAGAACAUGUUUAGAAAACUUAACAUGGAGUGGGAUGCAACCAGAGU
Molecule: long non-coding RNA, 263 nt
Organism: Sinocyclocheilus grahami
Lineage: Eukaryota; Metazoa; Chordata; Actinopteri; Cypriniformes; Cyprinidae
Exons: 3
Source: RefSeq, a predicted model, not a curated record